Molecule: transfer RNA, 76 nt
Filed under: Terriglobia bacterium
Lineage: Bacteria; Pseudomonadati; Acidobacteriota; Terriglobia
Description: tRNA-Gln
Rfam family: tRNA
About the family: Transfer RNA (tRNA) molecules are approximately 80 nucleotides in length. Their secondary structure includes four short double-helical elements and three loops (D, anti-codon, and T loops).
Source: RNAcentral
UGCGAGGUCAUUUAACUGGAUAGGAUCACCGGCUCUGACCCGGUUCAUGCAGGUUCGAAUCCUGCCCUCGCAGCCA